CUCUAAAUCUAUGUGUUCUAAUAUAGAACACUGGACGCGUCCAUACGUUCUGCCACAGAAUACGAAUGUUCUAAUUCGUGCAGCACGUGUUCUAUUGCUGAACGCCUGUAAUCUGUUGUAGAACGCGUGUGUUCUCUCCUGGGAGAAGUCCAUGCACAUUAGCAGAGAUAAUGUGCUGAAUGCUGUUAGACAAAUUUAAAUUCGACCAUCAUAUUUGUGUUUUCGGAAUAUUUAUUUUUGAGAAGAAGAGAGGCUGGUAGAUUGGUAUGUCAAACAGAAAAUGUGUAUAAGAAGGGUUAUAUUUUGAGUUUGAUGAAUAAUAAAUAGUUUAUAAACAUGGCAUACUUUGGGUUAAUAAUAACUUAUAUGUAGCCUGAAUAAAUACAACAAGAAACAUUACUGAAAUACAACUCAUUGCUAAUACAUGGAAAUAACUUGCUUGCAUUGGGGACAUUUACUUGUAUCAGAACACUGGCAUUCUGAUGGCUAAUUUUAGCUGGAUCUUUAAUGGGUGCUCUGGAACUUAUACGGUCUAUUUGCUGAACGCCUGCGUUCUCUCCUAGAACGCGUGUGUUCUGCUGUGUUCUAUAAUGUUAUAUGCGAGAACACGUGUUCCAUUAAUAGAACAUCGGUGUUCUGUUUUUCUAACAAGCAUUCAAAGCUGUCCAUGCUCUGUGAUUCACAUCCGUUAUGUGAGAAACUGGCGUGACGUCGCAUGUAUUUGGCGCUACAAUUUCCUAUGAUCUGAGGUGUGUCUGUGGUUCUAUAUGAAUCGCCUGAAAGUGCGAAGCGUGCUACAUGCAACAAAUCUCUGAACAUCUAAAUUUGGGAUCCGAGGGCAUGAUCAGCAAGCAUCGACAAUGCAUCGAAAUCAGCAGAGAGUAGUGGUGCAUUGCAGAUAAUCAGUACCAUCCAUGGAAAUUAUUGCACAGGGCACACGUCUACACAAAGGAGGAAAAGACACAAGGUUUUGCAGAUCAAAUAAGAAGGAUGUUGGGGAGUCAUAUUUCACAUGAAGUUUCCUGAAGCCUGCGAUGGUCAUGUCGCUGUUACGAACAUCGUCCUUUGGGGAUAUUUACCCACAAGAAACAUCUGCGAAGUACAUGCGCUUGAAACUUAAGUUAUCUUAAGUAUGGAAGUAUGCUUCAAUUUGCUACACAACAGUUUGUAAUGUUUCAUGAAGAACUCUGACUCAUAAGUGACUUGAAUAUCCAUGAUCAUCCCAAACAAAUGUAAUAAAGAAUUCAUGGUUGCAGUUCAGAAUUUCGUCCGUGUGAUUUUAUGCCAGAUAAUAUGCAUGGGUGUAUGGUUUAAAUUCGUACACCUUGAAAAACAUCGGGUAAAUUGUAUUCGACACACACGAUGAGUUGUCGUUUCAGUAAUGUGGAAGUACGUGUCCGAGAACGUGUAGUGUUCUGAAUCUCGGUCCAGAACACUUUACAGGCGUUCUAAAAGCGUUACAUCGUCAGAACACGUUGAAGCGUUCUAAAUAUGUUUGUAGAACACUCUUGUUCUGGGUCGAGAACAUCAACGUUCAGAAUAUUUUCAGAACACAUGGACGCGUUCUAAAAGUGUUACAUCCAUGUGUUCUGUCUAGUGUUCAGAAGUGGAACACUUGGGUU
Molecule: long non-coding RNA, 1622 nt
Filed under: Haliotis rufescens (red abalone)
Lineage: Eukaryota; Metazoa; Mollusca; Gastropoda; Lepetellida; Haliotidae
Description: uncharacterized LOC124114763
Source: RNAcentral